UGGGUAACCUGCCUCAAAGAGGGGAAUAGCCUCCCGAAAGGGAGAUUAAUACCGCAUAAUAUGUUUUAGUCGCAUGACUUAAACAUCAAAGGAUUUUCUUUUAAGAAAUUCCACUUUGAGAUGGACCCGCGGCGCAUUAGCUAGUUGGUGAGGUAACGGCUCACCAAGGCAACGAUGCGUAGCCGACCUGAGAGGGUGAUCGGCCACAUUGGAACUGAGACACGGUCCAGACCUCCGUAGGGAGG
This 245-nucleotide ribosomal RNA is filed under the name uncultured bacterium. Its description in RNAcentral is "partial 16S ribosomal RNA". It matches the Rfam family "Bacterial small subunit ribosomal RNA", at positions 118 to 347 of the family's 1533-position model. The record is from RNAcentral.